This 405-nucleotide ribosomal RNA is filed under the name Dermacentor laothaiensis. Its description in RNAcentral is "partial large subunit ribosomal RNA". Lineage: Eukaryota; Metazoa; Arthropoda; Arachnida; Ixodida; Ixodidae. The record is from RNAcentral.
UUUUAAAUUGCUGUGGUAUUUUGACUAUACAAAGGUAUUGUAAUAAGAUUUUAAUUGAAUGCUAAAAGAAUGGAAUUUCAGAGAAAAACUUUUUUAAAUUUAAAAAUUAAAAUUAUUUUAAUUUGUGAAGAAACAAUUAUAAAAAUUAAUGACAAGAAGACCCUAAGAAUUUUGUAAAUUAUACAACAAUAUAUAUUGUUGUAUAAUUUAUUGGUUGGGGCAACCAAAAAAUAUUUUUAACUUUUUUAUUAUAAAAUGACCCAUUAUUAAUGAUUAUAUGACAAAAUACUCUAGGGAUAACAGCGUAAUAAUUUUUGAUAGAUCAUAUAGACAAAAUAGUUUGCGACCUCGAUGUUGGAUUAGGAUACUUUUUUAAUGAAGAUGUAAAAAAAGAAGUUGUCAACU